CCUACAUGAUCUGAGUUUAGACCGAUGAGAAUCAGGNUNGUUUCUAUCUUAAUUUAGAACAAGUUUUAAGUAGUACGAAAGGAAUUUUUAAACUAAUUAANAAUUAAUUAAUCUAACAGUUUUUUGCAUCAAUUUUUGGACUU
This 143-nucleotide ribosomal RNA is filed under the name Bothriocroton undatum (goanna tick). RNAcentral's name for it is "partial 16S ribosomal RNA". Lineage: Eukaryota; Metazoa; Arthropoda; Arachnida; Ixodida; Ixodidae. The record is from RNAcentral.